This 65-nucleotide transfer RNA is filed under the name Dipodomys ordii (Ord's kangaroo rat). It matches the Rfam family "tRNA". Rfam says of the family: Transfer RNA (tRNA) molecules are approximately 80 nucleotides in length. Their secondary structure includes four short double-helical elements and three loops (D, anti-codon, and T loops). Further hydrogen bonds mediate the characteristic L-shaped molecular structure. tRNAs have two regions of fundamental functional importance: the anti-codon, which is responsible for specific mRNA codon recognition, and the 3' end, to which the tRNAs corresponding amino acid is attached (by aminoacyl-tRNA synthetases). tRNAs cope with the degeneracy of the genetic code in two manners: having more than one tRNA (with a specific anti-codon) for a particular amino acid; and 'wobble' base-pairing, i.e. permitting non-standard base-pairing at the 3rd anti-codon position. Lineage: Eukaryota; Metazoa; Chordata; Mammalia; Rodentia; Heteromyidae. The record is from Rfam by way of RNAcentral.
GGUGGCUCAGUGGUAGAGUGCUUGCCUUGCAUGCAUGAAGCCCUGGGUUCGAUUCCUCAGCACCU